GAGGGAUUGCUUGCCCUUGUUCAUGAACAGCACGAGCACCAGCACAGGUGUGAUCAGCAUGCUCCUGCAAGACUCAAGAUGCUACCGGGAAGCUUCCUUCACACUCACAACCAAUCUCUGGGGGACCAAGGGUUUGACUGUCCCCUGAGGGAGUGGGAAACUGAUUCCAGUCCUUCUGUCUUUUGGGUGGUUCUGGCCCUGUGGCCAUUUGCUCAGCGUAUGGUUAGCUGUUAGUGACAGCCAGCAGUGAGAAUGCCCUUAGCUGGAUGACAGUGCUCACCUGGACACUCAAGGCUCUGGUACUGAUUUCCAUUGAAACUCCAUUGUUCAUUUUUGGGAAAGAAGCAGUGAGCUGCUGGAGCACCGUGCGUCUGCAGGGGGCUGCUCAUCCCUGCUGGCUCUGAGCGGAAGACAGAUCUUGCAUUGGCACAUGCAGGAGGUAAUGGUUUCUGAUGAGAAAUUCAGAAACCAGCUCUGCAUGAGCACAUAGAAUUCUACUCAGAAAGGAACCAAAUUAUUCCCACAUUCACUCUGAUCAGGUAACUCAGAAAGAUGCCGUUCUUUGAACAGAGAUGCUCACACGCUCGUGCAGCUUCUCUUCCUGAAAGCUCAAGCCAGCUGUCAGCGGCCCAGCACCAGGUACUGAUGGUGUGUGGAGCAUCAGCUCCGGCUGGGGACCUGAAAGCAGAGACCAGUGCUCGGCAUCUGUGACAGCGAUCCUACAAGGAGGUGAUGGGCACCUCCAUUUCCGCGACGGCCUUCAUGAGGGGCCUGAUUGAGAACUUUUUGGAAACUGGAAAAGAGGUAACAGCACAAAGCUCCUUGUGUGUGGAGGAAAAGGUCCUUAUGAAGGCGGGCAAAGUUCCUACUGACCUUGUUGUAAGUGUGCUAAAACCUGAAGGUAAGAUGCAAGCAAAGGUGACGUGAAAUAUCUAAGGCAGCUCUCUGGAUUGAAAGACACCCCGGGAGAAGGUCUGUUCUCCAGGUGGCCAGAGAGGCUGGGGAAUCCCAGUCCAUGAAGAGCUUCAGACUCUGGCUGGAGAAGGAACUAAGAAACUUGAUUCAGCUUUGAUGUUGGUCCUGAUUUGGGCAGAGGUUUGGAUUACAUGGACUAGUGCUCCAGAGGUCUCGUAUCAUACCAGUUUUUCUGUGAUCCUA
Oxyura jamaicensis (ruddy duck) is the source of this 1158-nucleotide long non-coding RNA. RefSeq lists it as uncharacterized. The record is from RefSeq and is a predicted model, not a curated record. NCBI's taxonomy places the organism in Eukaryota, Metazoa, Chordata, Aves, Anseriformes, Anatidae. The transcript has 4 exons.